Molecule: ribosomal RNA, 733 nt
Filed under: uncultured bacterium
Lineage: Bacteria
Description: bacterial SSU rRNA
Rfam family: Bacterial small subunit ribosomal RNA
Source: RNAcentral
AACAGGAUUAGAUACCCUGGUAGUCCACGCCGUAAACGGUGGGUGCUAGGUGUGAGCGGUAUUCCACGCCGUUCGUGCCGCAGCUAACGCAUUAAGCACCCCGCCUGGGGAGUACGGCCGCAAGGCUAAAACUCAAAGGAAUUGACGGGGGCCCGCACAAGCAGCGGAGCAUGUGGCUUAAUUCGACGCAACGCGAAGAACCUUACCAAGGCUUGACAUGCAGGGAAAUCCUCCAGAGAUGGGGGGUCCGCAAGGGUCCUGCACAGGUGGUGCAUGGUUGUCGUCAGCUCGUGUCGUGAGAUGUUGGGUUAAGUCCCGCAACGAGCGCAACCCUCGUUCUAUGUUGCCAGCGCGUGAUGGCGGGGACUCAUAGGAGACUGCCGGGGUCAACUCGGAGGAAGGUGGGGAUGACGUCAAAUCAUCAUGCCCCUUAUGUCUUGGGCUGCACACAUGCUACAAUGGCCGGUACAAAGGGCUGCUAAGCCGCGAGGUGGAGCGAAUCCCAAAAAGCCGGUCUCAGUUCGGAUUGGGGUCUGCAACUCGACCCCAUGAAGUCGGAGUUGCUAGUAAUCGCAGAUCAGCAACGCUGCGGUGAAUACGUUCCCGGGCCUUGUACACACCGCCCGUCACGUCACGAAAGUCGGUAACACCCGAAGCCAGUGGCCCAACUCGCAAGAGAGGGAGCUGUCGAAGGUGGGAUCGGCGAUUGGGACGAAGUCGUAACAAGGUAACC